ACGGAAGGCAGCAGUAAGGGAUAUUGGGCAAUGGGGGGAACCCUGACCCAGCCAUGCCGCGUGAGGGAAUGAGGCCCUACGGGUCGUGAACCUCUUUUGUCCGGGGAUAACCUCCCCCGCGGGACGGGGGACUGCAGGUACCGGGCGAAUAAGCAUCGGCUAACUCCGUGCCAGCAGCCGCGGUAAUACGGAGGAUGCGAGCGUUAUCCGGAUUCAUUGGGUUUAAAGGGUGCGCAGGCGGCGUGUUAAGUCAGCGGUGAAAGUCAGGGGCCCAACCCCGGAAGUGCCGUUGAUACUGGCGCGCUGGAAUGCGGUCGAGGCGGGCGGAAUGUGGCGUGUAGCGGUGAAAUGCAUAGAUAUGCCACAGAACUCCGAUAGCGAAGGCAGCCCGCCAGGCCUGCAUUGACGCUCAGGCACGAAAGCGUGGGGAUCGAACAGGAUUAGAUACCCUGGUA
RNAcentral lists this ribosomal RNA (455 nucleotides) under uncultured bacterium. RNAcentral's name for it is "partial 16S ribosomal RNA". It matches the Rfam family "Bacterial small subunit ribosomal RNA", at positions 341 to 792 of the family's 1533-position model. The record is from RNAcentral.